UCCGUAGUAGUGUAGGGGUUGUACGUUACUCCAAAUCGUUCGCUCAAAACGUUUGUCUAACGGGUCAUAGAACAUACUCCGCUUUCAAGAAUUUCUCAUGAUUUCGAAGAGCCGGAGAGCCCCGGGUUCGAUUCCCGGCUAUGGAA
Molecule: non-coding RNA, 146 nt
Organism: Hyaloscypha bicolor E
Lineage: Eukaryota; Fungi; Ascomycota; Leotiomycetes; Helotiales; Hyaloscyphaceae
Source: the annotation of a RefSeq genome assembly